CGGCAGGCCUAACACAUGCAAGUCGAACGGUAACAGGAAGCAGCUUGCUGCUUGCUGACGAGUGGCGGACGGGUGAGUAAUGUCUGGGAAACUGCCCGAUGGAGGGGGAUAUCUACUGGAAACGGUAGCUAAUACCGCAUAAUGUCGCAAGACCAAAGAGGGGGACCUUCGGGCCUCUUGCCAUCGGAUGUGCCCAGAUGGGAUUAGCUUGUUGGUGAGGUAACGGCUCACCAAGGCGACGAUCCCUAGCUGGUCUGAGAGGAUGACCAGCCACACUGGAACUGAGACACGGUCCAGACUCCUACGGGAGGCAGCAGUGGGGAAUAUUGCACAAUGGGCGCAAGCCUGAUGCAGCCAUGCCGCGUGUAUGAAGAAGGCCUUCGGGUUGUAAAGUACUUUCAGCGGGGAGGAAGGUGUUGUGGUUAAUAACCGCAGCAAUUGACGUUACCCGCAGAAGAAGCACCAGCUAACUCCGUGCCAGCCGCGGC
This 488-nucleotide ribosomal RNA is filed under the name uncultured bacterium. RNAcentral describes it as "bacterial SSU rRNA". It matches the Rfam family "Bacterial small subunit ribosomal RNA", at positions 40 to 518 of the family's 1533-position model. The record is from RNAcentral.